GCACAGGGGACCAGCAAGAAACCUUGGAGCUAUGGGGCAGUUUCCAUAUGAGGAGAGAAUAUGCAGCGGGACUCCUGGCAGGCCAUGAGAUGGCAAAGCAGGAGAGCCACGUCUGCGGGUUUGCCGGGAGCCAACCACCACAACCAGCUGCACAGCUGAGCCCAGGAGCACCAGGCUGAGUGCACACAACCCAGCAAUGAGCUCUCCUGUGCCAGCUCGGUGCCCGGUGCCUGCUCCCCACAGCCCUGAUGCAUUCUGCAAGCCAUCCGUGGUGCGUCAUUUGGGCCCAAACAAUUCAUCUCUGAGCUGUGGGCCUCAUUAAAACAUCCUCUUGGGAGAAGCCAGGCAAAGAGUCAGGUGUCAGCCGUGCUCUGCGUGGAAAAGCCCGCCUGCUAUUCGGGAGCGUUGUUUGUUCAAACACAGGACAGGAGGGCCCCGGGUCACCUUCCUGCAGCACCGCCAUGAACAAAGCCGAUUGUCCCACCCUGCCUCCAUUCUCUAUGCAAGGAGUGGGUGAGGCCGGCAGCAGCUGGUCGGGCAAUUAUUUAUGAAUGAGAGCGGAGCUUUUCCAGCUGAAGGUGGUUGCUGUGGGCAGAUGCCAGAGCAACACAUGGGCACAUCCCAGCUGUUUGCAGGCUCCGAGCUCUGUCAGAGAUGUAUGUUAACAGAUACAGACACACGUGUGAUUGUCAUCUUGCCAUCCUCUGAAACCAAUGGCUUCAGCUUUUGGGUAAGUUUUUCCAGCAACUGUUAUUUUUCUGCUAUUUCUUGGGGUGUUCUGGGAGGCUGCUUAGAUGGCUGACAUCUCUUCCUCCCUUUUCACAUUAGCUAGUUAAAUGUCCUCCCUUUCCACAGAUCUUUUUGCUGGUGGGAGCAGUAGGUAGGUGGUUGGAAGAGCAAAGGGAUGGAGAGAUCCAGUGUAGGUACCGGGUUCCUGGUGUGAAGCUGAGGGGCUGGCUGGGAAUGAGGAGUGGUAAUGGGUGAGUGGAAGGAAGCCAAACACAAUGGAAAGUGGGAAAGAAGAGAAUGCAGGAUGGGGAUGAAAGAUUACCUGACUGCAGGGAGAUGAUUUAUAUAGUGGGAUGCUGAUUUGUAUUAUGCAAAUAACAAGCACCCACUGUGCAAUGUUUCCUUGGUUUUGUUGUGGUGGUAGAAGAGGGUUGGCUGCCUCCCAUGCUGCUGCUACUGCCAGUGCUGAAGAAAACAGUGUCCUUUCCAGAGCUGUGCUGACAGCAUCGGCUGUCAGCACCCAAACUCAGAUGCAAACAGAACCACCUUCCUGUGUCUGUGGAGUUAAAAAAGAAAAUUAGGAAGAAAGUAGGCUUUGUCUGGUGAAGGACUGGAGUCAAAAGACAGGC
This is a long non-coding RNA of Gallus gallus (chicken), 1358 nucleotides long. The record is from Ensembl. Lineage: Eukaryota; Metazoa; Chordata; Aves; Galliformes; Phasianidae.